Non-coding RNA from Lepisosteus oculatus (spotted gar), 6712 nucleotides. Lineage: Eukaryota; Metazoa; Chordata; Actinopteri; Semionotiformes; Lepisosteidae. The record is from RefSeq and is a predicted model, not a curated record.
UAGUCAGAGUGAGACACCAUUCUUAUUGAUGAUAAUUAUCUUGGCUCCUCCAGGUUGUCACCACUGAUUUUGGAACGUGGCCUCAUGUUCACUCAAAGAAAGCCUGCGUAAUAUAAAGGCCCCAGAAGCCAGUACUAAAAAUAAUUUAACAAGUCGCAAUUAAUAAGACGGCAUAUAAGUAAAUGAAAAGAGAGUCACGGAAACAGAAGGCACAGAAUACAUUUCUGUGCUAUCAGCAGUAUACCCUGACCCUUGUUAUACACCCUUUGUGGGAUUGAAACCCCCAUCAAGCUCUGCACCUUCGUUCUAUAUAUAUAUGUGUAAAAAUCGUUCCCUUUCACAGCUCUUAGAUCCGAGGUUCCCUGCCUUCAGGAGUCCUGAGCCCCCUGUGCCGUCCUCAGUUCCUCCCCUCUCGGUUCUGGAGCACUGUCACCCAGUCCCCCUACAGAGACGAUCCCUCAGUGUCACCAUCCAUCCUCAGACCUGUAAACACUGCGCUGCCAGAUCCAUCGGAGGGCUGACAGACAUGCUACACAGAAAGGAUGCUUUGAUAGAUGGCCGACGCCGGGUCCCUGUGAGCACCGGGGGCUGUGUGAGCUAAGCGCCCUGUCCGUGCAUGCUGGGAAGAAGCAGGUAUUUACAGCAGACUGCUAAAGGCUGGGGGUGAAUAGGUUACCUUACAGAGCUGCUUCUCCUCUGUCUCCUUCCCUGCCUCCCUCUCCCUCUGCCUGUUUCUUUGUCUGCACUGGAAAAUGAAGCCUCAUCACCUACAAUGAAGCUCAAAGGCUGCUCGAGGGACUUUGCAAUGCAAAUGCAAGAAGACCCUAUCCGUGACACCAGUGCAGAGGUCGGCUUCCACGGACCCCUGCCGCAAUGGUCAAGCCGAACAAGACCAGGAUGGAUGGACCUGCGUGCGCCUGCCUGUUUUCGGCAGAAAACAACGGAUUUUUCCCCGACACUUUUCCGAAUCGAGUCCUCUAAAGCUGUGGCGCAGAUGAUGGCAGUGGACUUUCUUGGCUUCCUUGCGAUGACUAAGACAAUCCUGAAUAGAAAGAGUUCUAGAGAUGAGAAUGUUAAGGUACAUAUGUUAAAAUAUGAACCUCUCCGUGCGUUGCUGUAUUUUUUUUAAAAUUCCUUUUUGUUUUUACAGAUUCUCUGAUACCAGAUGGAGCUUAUAUCCUACUCUGGACCCUGAAGCCUAUGUAGGGCUCUUUUUUUUUUUUUUGCAUCGUUUUAAAAGCUACGUACAGGCGUGUGCAAGAAUAUAGCACAGGGGGAGAGAGAGAGAGAGAGAGGAGAGAGAGAAGAGAGAGAGACAGCAAUCCCUGCCUAUUAGAUCAACAUUACUUCUAAGGCAUAUGCUUACAAACACCAAAACAGGGCUGACUUGCAAUGUUCAGGAAAUUCGAAAAGGUAUAAUAAGAGCAUAGUACUAAUUGCAAUGGUGUUACUCUGUUAUGUAUGAUAGAAACUGAUCAUGUCCUCCUCUUUUGUUUUGCGACAAUCCAAGAAGAGAUCUGCAAGAAUGACUUAGCAACCAGGUACCUCUACUACUCUUAUUGUCGUACAACAAAGGUAUAUAAUAUCUAUUAUUCUCUCGCUCUCUCUCUCUGUCUCUCUCACACUCUUUCUCCUUGUGCAUCUGCAAUGGUAUCCUGCUCUUUACCUAGACUAACAUCGUCCGUCCGUCUACUGUUUAUUUAUAAAGUAGGUAUACGUGGGUGUGCUGAAAUUUAACUUCGCCUUUUUCUUAUCUCCUGCAGUCGCAUGUUAAGAUUUGGAGACUACCAUGACUGUUUUGUGCGGGAAAGGCAAUUUCUUUUUUUUCCCCUUUUCGAUUCCUUCCUGGUGUUGUUGAUUCCAGCCCUGCUGGCAGUGCGCACACAGUACAGUGCAGGCAGCAAGCGAGGACACGGGGCUGCUCCUGUGUGUGUCGGGGAUCGCCGGCGUGUUUCCAUACAGAGACCUGCAUGGAUAUAUCCGAUCGAUCUGUGUAAUGCAAACACGCGUGUGGACGCAUGUCAGCGUGGGGGAGUGCAGCGAGGGGCAAACUGGUCAGUUGGAAAAGACGAAUGAUGGGUUGAUCUAUGCAGGCAGAUGGAUGCUGGAACAGACAGGAGAGGGGAUCUGUGCACAUGUGUUGCUAUGCAGGAGCUUAGCAGGGCAAACCCGACAGGGAUGUUUAUCUUGGGUUUGAGCUCUUUGUGUUCACAGUGGACCUUGAUUUAAUUUUAUACAAUUAAGGCACGCGGUGAAUGCCAAGAGAGAAGCCACGAGCACCUUUUAUGUUCAAGAUCUAAGGGAAGGAAACGGAACAGGUCAACAAGGGAAACAGCAGGGCAAACUAACCCUGGUGCCUACGGGGAAGAGAGCAAUUUCUGCAUUUAUAUUAUACACACACACAUAUCCAGUAUAGAAAACGAACAGGUUGCAGUCUUUGUUGAGGACAAUACUAAUGAUCCUUACUGCAAACUCCAGUCUGCGUUGAGUGUCAGGCAGUGCAUAUACCAGCAGAAUACUAAUGCCCCUUUCACAGAAUCUGCGGGUGUAAUAGAAAUUUAUAUGAUUAAAUAACACAGUGUAGGGCUGUUGGAGGAACUGGGGGAGGGGGGGCAGUUUUAUUAAUGGACUGCUCUUUUUUUCCCCCCGUCCAAUUAAGCUGGUAAAUAUUCAAAGGCAUUUCUGGCGAAAGGCAAAGUGGUAUUCUGCUAAUCAAGGUGAUUGAAAUAGGUCUCGGCACCUCAUGCCUGCCAUUGUUCUGAGGGUUUUGGAGGCUGUGAGAACUAACAAUUCAGGUUUGAACAUUCUGGUUGGAAAAACUGCUUAAAUUGUCAUGUCUCACAAAUUAUUUUUGCUUGCCUGCUAUUUCCCAGUACCGAUAAUGCUCAUUGUUUAGCUACGUCUUUAGGCUUUUGACGUUAAAUUACAAAAAAACGUGGUUAAACUGAUGCGCACUUAAUAUAAGUUGUACAAACCACAGUGUGCAGUCGGCACAGGUGCUGGUCUGAGUCUCGUCACAGGGUUCGUAAAAGCCGCCCGGGUUGCAUGUUAACAAACUACAGUUAGAGCUGUCCGCUCUGAUUGAGGUCAAAGCCUAAAACAAGAGGCCAACAAGAACACCGUUAAAACAGCUGGCGAUAUUCGAAGUUAAGCACAGGGGGAAAAAAACAUAGUUCAGUGCAUGUCGACUAUUUGUUUUGAAAUACAAUAAAUUCAACAUAGCCAACCCAUGGAAAUCUUUUUUUCUUGUCUCAACAAGUUUAAUUUCCUAAUGAUACUAAUUUACUGACCAAGAUAUUUGUUUAAUAAUGCAAGAACCCCCCCAAAAAGUUGCAAAGCGCUGCGAGUUUGACCUACAUAUGCAGUCUUGCGCGACUGGAAGAUUCUUUCAGUCACCCACCGAUAUUUCUGCAUUUAAACGUAGACUCGCACUUUUAACACCUACUUUCUAAUCGACUGUAUUUUGGUGUCAUGGUGUCAUGCGAAAAGCUAAACCUAGGAAUAGGACCCUGGAAAUUCAUGUUCGGAAGCAAUAAAUACAUUGGAUUUUUGUUCGGUAGCAGUAGUAAAGUAUACAGCUUUACUGUUAACAGAUCCUGAAUGAGAUACCCCAGGCCAGUGUGGAUUUGAGAGAAACCAGCAAGCGCACCUUGGUGUGUUGUUAAAGCACUAAUAUUUUACCACUGAUAAAAAGAACAACAAAAAUAACUAGCAAAAAGUGAAUCCAUCUAAAACCAUGUCUAGACGGGUAUGAAAUAUUAAAGAGACAGUCGAGUCAAACUUGGCCUAAAUAUCUCCUCUCUUCAGUACUUCGAGGAGACGACGUGCUCGUCCGAGUGUACAGAUAUAUAUUACCUGACAGCGGGGAGAAAUGACUAAAUAAAUAAGCGAAUUUUCUAGUGCUCAGGACAGAACACAAAACACAAGGGUUUCACUGAGAUGGGGCACAGGCUACACCAAGACACGUGUCGCAUUUGCUAGGAGGGGUUACGCAUGAUCCUAUAUGUUUACUAUUAAUUUUACGCAUUAACUAUUUGCUGUCAGGAUAAAAAAAACUAAAUUUGCUAGUCAAAUCCUCGUAAUGGGAGCGGCUGACCGAUUACAAUAAUAAAAGAACAACUGCAGCCGGGAUAAAGGCAGGAAAUAAAUCAUAAUGACAAUCAGCUCAUUCAUUAACGUUUCAUUUUGACAGACGUCUGUAUCGGGUAUUAGCUUUUCGUGUUACCCUGAACAUACAAAAGUUCUCCAGUGCAGGAUAUUAUAUUUUAUACAGUGUUCUUUGCAUAGAACACACAACACAUUGUGCUGUAAGUUCAGAAAGAAAUAACAGUACCUCGGCGUGUGAGUUUUCUCCAGGUCUAUCAUCAGUCGAAACAGAAUGACCGGCCCGUUUUUACCAGCUAGGCCAAACUCGGCAGUCAAUAAAAACUAUAUUUGGGAUCCGAUCUAUAAAUUCGAGAUUCUGAGGGAAAAAAAGACAUUACAUUAUGUCAUUAAAUAAAGAAAAUUCAGAAACAAAAUACUGACAUUUUAAAAAUCUAAAGAUAAAAUAUUUUUUCUCUCUUUUCUUUGGUCCGACAGAUCAAGCCGGAUGGUAUACCUACAAAUCCCGGCGAUUUGUCAAACCUAAAUCGAAGAAUCAAGGCCUAGGCAUUCACUAUUAGAUUAAUUUUAUAAUCUCUUCAGCAAAAUCUUAACACGUUUCAGGACCGUUAUUUUCAAUUUGUAAUACUAUAUUUCUCAUUUCUCGCUGUAGUUCCAGCAAACGUGGAAAUAAAAUCUGCUGAAUCUCGUAGUUUUGUUUACUCAAUUAAAAUAGUCCAUUAAAAGAAAAAGAGAUGUAAUUAAUUGUCCCUGAAUAAAAUUUAACAUCCCUAAACUAUGGGAUAUUUCCGAUUUUGGCACCGAUUUCGCUUGAUUUUCCGUUGCCGAAAGGAAGCUAAGAAUACCGCAGCAGGCCUAGUGGAGACAACAAUUCAUUUUUAAACUGCAAGGAACCUAAUAAAUAGUGUCCAUAUAAAUUAAAAUAAAUAAUAAGAUCAAUAACUCGCACGUAUAUUCAUUGAGAAAGCAUCACGGGAUACCGUGAUACUCAAAAGUGAACACAACAGCAGGAAAGAAGUCUUUAUGUAGACGAUUUGUCAAAAUUAACAGGAUGAGGAAAAUUAACAAAUUCUCUACAUAAAUUAAUAAUUUCAGUAAACAGACUACCUACCGACAGUCAGAUAUGGUUAUAGCUACGUAAAUACAAAAGUGUAACAAUACCACAGCCAACAACUAUUUUUUAAUGCGGUCCUGUAAGUGGCCUUUUCCAUUUUGCCAUUUGUAUUGUUUUUCGUUAGUAAUAUAGGUCCCUCUUUACGUGAUAUAACAUUGCACACCUCAUUAACCACGCACACUUUAAGUGAAUUGGUGUAUUAAUCCAAAGGCGACUGGACGAAUUCUGGAGAUGUGGUUUUGUUUAUUAUUAUUAUUUUUUUGUAGUUUUGUUGUCUACCGCUGUAUCACUCACAUCUUAAAAAAUCUAGGAAACAACUGCUGGUUUUAGUGACAAGGAGGAAUUAUGGUGAAUGAAUUUCGAGGUUGUUUUUGAAGACAUUUACAACAAUAAAUGCAUUUUUUAGUCAUAAAAAUUGAAAUUUCAAUUCUUUAACUUUUAAAUGUAGAUUUUAAUUGUAUUUAAUAUUAUCCACGUUUUCUUAAUUCCAUAGUUUACAGUAUCAGCAAUAUCGAUCGUGGGGAUAUAAUAUUAUCUUUUGUACGUUCUGUACCUUUUCCUUUGUUGUAAUAAAACAAACUCAAACACUUAACAGGAACAGCCAACGUGCGAAACCAAUAACAUUUGUUCAACAAUUUCUAAUUUUCCCUCUAACAUUCACAGGAGAACACAUGGAGCCGGCUUCUGAAACGUUUGGAACCGCCUUUGUAUUGUAACACUUUUAUCUGAUACUUUCGUUUUGCCAGGAAAAAAAACCUCAUUUUGUAAUGUAAAUGGAGGUCUGGUGAGGUUUUCCGAAGCGUAACUAAUGGAAGAAAUAGACGGAUGUAUUUAUGGUAAUGAGGGGUGCGCACCUAGCCGAGGCGCACGUUAUAAAUCGAAGGAGUAAUAACCAUGUAUUUUGACUGAUGUUGCACACGCCGAAGUGAAAAUAAGAAGUUAACGGUUAACGGCCCUUAUCACCUAUAGCUGCUUCUACCGAUACCUUUGUCGACUGCCUACCGUACGGUUUCCUUAACGUUUACCGGGGUAACAAAAACAAAAUUGCCAACUACUUUACCUCUGGAGAUUUUCCUGGUACAGUUUUAUGUAUUUUUUUUUUAGAAAACCUAUAAUUAACUCAACUAACCCCACUUGUGAUUAAAAGGGGAGUGUGCUAUUUUAUACAUUAAAAAUCGUUUAAAGAUCAUUCGUUUGGUUUGUACAACUUCCAGACUAAAUGAACGCUAACAAAACAAAAAUGAAAGGGAAAAUUGUCUUCGGCUUUUCUUGGCUCAUAAUAACAGAAUCGGUUUUACAGAUGGACUUCUUUAAGUGGUGUGUGUGGAUGAGAUUAAAAGCAUGCAACACUUGAUGAAAGUCGCAAAAAGCAUGUAAAAGAAUCUGUAAUAGCAAACAAUUUACCCGAGAGAGUUUCACCAAUUUUGGCUAUUCUGUAAGAGUUACGAAGUCUAAUGCCAUUUGUCAUGGAAACCAAUAAAACCGAUUACAUCA